Molecule: microRNA precursor, 67 nt
Filed under: Bombyx mori (domestic silkworm)
Lineage: Eukaryota; Metazoa; Arthropoda; Insecta; Lepidoptera; Bombycidae
Description: mir-2774 microRNA precursor family
Rfam family: mir-2774 microRNA precursor family
Source: Rfam by way of RNAcentral
ACAACAUUCGGACCGUCGGUCUACCGAGCAAUAUCACCCGCUCGGUGGAAGACCUUCCCUUUGUCGU